GUGAGAGAAGGAUCUGGGCUACAGCUGGCGUACCCUGAUGGCGGCUGGGCCUGUGGCUGUGGCUGAAUUAUCUCAGAAGAAAUGAAUUACCUCAGAAAUGAUAAAGGAGGAUUAGGACCAUCCACACCCUUGGUGGAAUGCCUGAGCUCUGGUGGAAGCAAUAUCUGUUCAGACGGAUCUCAGCUCAGUACGCAAGAAAAACCCACCACAAUGGCUUCAAUGAGUAAGGGAUUUAUUUUUCUUCUGUAACUGGGGGUGGACUGUCAUAGCUCACUGACUUCAUCAGGGAUUCAGGCUCCUUUUUUCUUACUCUCUCCGCCUUUCAUAGCACACGGACUUUCAUAACACACAGACAUCUUCCUCAUGGCUGCAAAACGGCUGUGGCGCUUCCAGGCAUCACAUCCGUGUUCCAGGCAGAAAGAAAGGGGAAAGACCAAAACCCUUCUCCUUACAAAGCUUUGCUUUUUAUUUGAGAAUGGAUGGCAAAAGGAUUUUCACCCACGUCCCACUGGCCAGAACUGUCUCACUUGCCCCAUUUAUACAGCUGCAAGGGUUUCUGGGAGAAAAUAUUUUUGACUGAGCACAUUGCUGCUGUGGACAGAAUCAGAGGUUGUUAACAUUAAACAAGAGAGAGAGUGGAAUGCAGAGCAGGAAGGCAAGCAGAAUGUCUGGCACAGUCAGUAGCAAAGUGAGGAGAGAGCUUCGAGAAGAGGGGUCUAAGCAGGAUCCUGGAAGUGAGGUGGGUCUCCAGAGGGAGUGCUGAAGGUAUUUUCAUUUCAGGAGGCAAGAUCUGGAGGAGCGUUGGGAAGGGAAUCGAAAUAGCUCUCAAAUGCCCUCACUGCCACCCACUAAUGGAGACAUGAUCGUUCCCCUUCUGCAGAUGGCAGAAUGAAGUCUUACAGACGCUAACAGGCCCUUGUCACUGUGGUAACUUCCUGAAGCAUUUAUAUACUUGAAUAAGUAGUCAAUACACGUGAUACAAACCUUUUAUUUAAAGCACAAAAGAAUACGUAUUAGUGAAUUUUCCUUCCCAUCGCUGUGUCCCAGCUCUCUUCCCUGGAGGCAACGACGGCUAACAGUUACAGUUGAUCUUCAUUAUUUGCAGAUUCUGUGUUUGCAAAUGUACCUACUCACUAAAAUGCAUUUGUAGCCCCUGAAUCCAUAUGCACAAUGUUUUCAUAGUCAUUUGUGGAUGUGCGUAGAGCCGUGAAACAUUCGAGACCCUCACUGUACAGGUUCCCAGAGAAGGUGGACCGAGGUCUCCGCCUUCUUGUCUCAGUUCUCAUAUUGUAAACAACUGUCCUUUUGGCCGUCUAUUUAGUGCCACAUUUUUUGCACUUUGGUUGGUGAUUUGGCUGUUAAAAAUGGCUCCUAAGCAUCGUGCUGAUGUGCCGUCUGGUGUCCGUAAGCGCAGAAGCUAUGAUGCGUCUUAUGGAAAAAAUCUGUGUUAGAUGAGCUUUCUUCAGGCACGAGCUAUAGUGCUAUUGGCCAUGAGUUCAAUGCUAAUGAAUCAGCAAUAUAUAUUAAAUAAGGUGUCUGUAACCAAAAACUCACAUAAAGCAAGGUUUUGUGUGAAUCGGUUGAUGAAAAUGCAGGAACCUGAGUGUGUUAACCUUUUUUUUUUUUUUCAUUUUCUGUAUUUGUGAUGCUUUGACAUUUGAGAAUGUGCUGAUCCCAGAGAGCCUGCCUCUUCCAGGGCCAGCCAGUUCCUAGAGAUUGAAACAGUAACCUAGGAGUGCACCUCUCUCAUGCAAACCGGUCAGUCUGGAAACCUUCCUUCAAACCACAUCCUUCAACUACCACCUUUGUGGGGCUCCCACAAGUGACCCACAUCCCCCAUGCCCUAGUAUUGCCUCAAGUCCAGGUACCAGACAACUAGUGGCAGCUACACCCUGGAGCCUGCUGAAAUUAUUCCAAUUUGCCAAUCUGAAGGCUGCCUACCCCCAACUGGUUCCUUCCCAAGGAGACCAUAAUAAAGUCCUGUGCCUUCCUUUCUCCUCACUCCUCUGUCUCCCGGCCAACCCUGGUGCUUCCCCAUGUUCCCCCAUGUGGCAUGCUGUGCCUCUGGGUUCCAGGGAUCUGUGUCUAUGAAUCUGUUCCUUCACAACAAUCAUUUCUGUGCCUGCCUUUUUUUUUUUUUU
Molecule: long non-coding RNA, 2141 nt
Filed under: Homo sapiens (human)
Lineage: Eukaryota; Metazoa; Chordata; Mammalia; Primates; Hominidae
Description: non-protein coding lnc-USP29-3:1
Source: RNAcentral